This 253-nucleotide ribosomal RNA is filed under the name uncultured bacterium. RNAcentral describes it as "partial 16S ribosomal RNA". It matches the Rfam family "Bacterial small subunit ribosomal RNA", at positions 524 to 776 of the family's 1533-position model. The record is from RNAcentral.
UACGUAGGGGGCUAGCGUUGUCCGGAAUCAUUGGGCGUAAAGCGCGCGUAGGCGGCCAGAUAAGUCCGGUGUGAAAGUCACAGGCUCAACCUGUGAAUGCCGCUGGAAACUGUCUGGCUAGAGUCCGGAAGGGGCGAGUGGAAUUCCUGGUGUAGCGGUGAAAUGCGCAGAUAUCAGGAGGAACACCAAUGGCGAAGGCAGCUCGCUGGGACGGUACUGACGCUGAGGCGCGAAAGCAUGGGGAGCGAACAGG